CACGUAGGGUGCGAGCGUUGUCCGGAAUUAUUGGGCGUAAAGAGCUCGUAGGCGGUGUGUCGCGUCUGCCGUGAAAACCUGCAGCUUAACUGUGGGCUUGCGGUCGAUACGGGCAUCACUGGAGUUCGGCAGGGGAGACUGGAAUUCCUGGUGUAGCGGUGAAAUGCGCAGAUAUCAGGAGGAACACCGGUGGCGAAGGCGGGUCUCUGGGCCGAUACUGACGCUGAGGAGCGAAAGCGUGGGGAGCGAACAGG
RNAcentral lists this ribosomal RNA (254 nucleotides) under uncultured bacterium. RNAcentral describes it as "partial 16S ribosomal RNA". It matches the Rfam family "Bacterial small subunit ribosomal RNA", at positions 524 to 776 of the family's 1533-position model. The record is from RNAcentral.